CCCCGACUCCGAGACAAGACUGGCCGAAGGGCGACACUUUCACAUCACAAGGGGUCUGUGGCUGAAGGCGACAUGGCAAAGGGAGGAGAGGAGGAACGUCCUGCGCAAGUGGCAUGCCCCCUACCACCGAAUGGUACGAACGGUCUGGAGUUGAUACGGCACGGGAUCUGCUGUCCAUUCGGCAGGACCAGCUGGCUGUCCAGCGAGAACUGCUGGCCACACAGCAGGGUCUGCUGGCCACCCAGCAGCAGCAGCUGGCAGUUCAGCAGGAAAUGCUGCUCGUGCAGAGAGAGGCAGUCGAUGCACUCCGUCGACUUGCAAGCAUAUUUGAGCAGUCCGUGGACACAGGGGUGUUGCCCUCUGACCGGAAAAUUAGCUGUAGAGGGACAAGCAGCAGCAAGUGCGCACCAGUCGUCCGCACUGACUUCGCUAGUGCUUCAGCUCGUCGGUGUGCAGAAUCUCCAUCCGCCAGCCGAAUAAAAACUUGGCUUGAUUCGAGCGGCAGCGUGUUCGCUGAACGGCAUCUGCUGUCUCUGCAGUCUAGAUCAGGAAUGAGGUAAGACUGCAACGGAAGCGGCUACGUAGAUGUCUGCAAGGUGAGUGAUGCAUGCAGCCAUUUCUUUGUUUGAUAUUGCGUUUCAAGAGAAGAUGAAGCUGCGGCAUUGUCUAAAGGUCCUGGUUUCUGCUUCCGCCUGGUCAACAUUGCUGCCCCAUGAAUCGUGUCUCAUCGACUCUUAUACUUUUUGCGAGCUGACGUUUGGGCUUGUUGCUUUGGAUAGAAUGCUAUGGUGGGCUUGGCCUGGAGCCAGCUGAAUGUCUUUGUCCAUGAAGCCAUAAACGAGGACAUAAUAAUAAUUUAUUGCAUAUGAACAAAGCGAGGUUGAAGUCAGACCUGCCUA
RNAcentral lists this long non-coding RNA (899 nucleotides) under Ixodes scapularis (black-legged tick). RNAcentral's name for it is "uncharacterized LOC115328251, transcript variant X3". The record is from RNAcentral. Lineage: Eukaryota; Metazoa; Arthropoda; Arachnida; Ixodida; Ixodidae.